RNAcentral lists this ribosomal RNA (327 nucleotides) under uncultured eukaryote. RNAcentral's name for it is "partial 18S ribosomal RNA". It matches the Rfam family "Eukaryotic small subunit ribosomal RNA", at positions 1470 to 1796 of the family's 1831-position model. The record is from RNAcentral.
CCCUUAGAUGUCCUGGGCUGCACGCGCGCUACACUGAUGUGUCCAGUAAGCACCUAACCUCUUCCGAAAGGAACGGGUAACCUUUGCAAAGCACAUCGUGAUGGGGAUAGAUUAUUGCAAUUAUUAGUCUUGAACGAGGAAUUCCUAGUAAGCACUAGUCAUCAGCUAAUGUUGAUUAUGUCCCUGCCCUUUGUACACACCGCCCGUCGCUACUACUGAUUGGGUGUUCAAGUGAGAUGCUUAGACCCUUGUUGCAUGGUUCAUUAUUGUGCUCCGAAAGGAAAAAGUUUCAAGCUUGAGUGUCUAGAGGAAGUAAAAGUCGUAACA